RNAcentral lists this ribosomal RNA (1482 nucleotides) under uncultured Bordetella sp. Its description in RNAcentral is "partial 16S-23S ribosomal RNA intergenic spacer". It matches the Rfam family "Bacterial small subunit ribosomal RNA". Lineage: Bacteria; Pseudomonadati; Pseudomonadota; Betaproteobacteria; Burkholderiales; Alcaligenaceae. The record is from RNAcentral.
GGGUUUGAUCCUGGCUCAGAUUGAACGCUGGCGGGAUGCUUUACACAUGCAAGUCGAACGGCAGCACGGACUUCGGUCUGGUGGCGAGUGGCGAACAGGUGAGUAAUGUAUCGGAACGUGCCUAGUAGCGGAGGACAACUACGCGAAAGCGUAUACCGCAUACGCCCUUCGGGGAAAGCGGGGGACCUUCGGGCCUCGCACUAUUAGGCGGCCGAUAUCGGAUUAGCUAGUUGGUGGGAAGUAACGGCUCACCAAGGCGACGAUCCGUAGCUGGUUUGAGAGGACGACCAGCCACACUGGGACUGGAGACUGCGGCCCAGACUCCUACAGGAGGCAGCGGUGGGGAAUUUUGGACAAUGAAACCUGAUCCAGCCAUCCCGCGUGUGCGAUGAAGGCCUUCGGGUUGUAAAGCACUUUUGGCGGGAAAGAAACGGCACGGGAUAAUACCCCGUGCAACUGACGGCUACACGAAUAGCACCAGCUAACUACGACAGCAACCGCGGUAAUACGUAGGUGCAAGCGUUAAUCGGAAUUACUGGGCGUAAAGCGUGCGCAGGCGGUUCGGAAAGAAGAUGUGAAAUCCCAGAACUAGCACGGAACUGCAUUUUUAACUACCGAGCUAGAGUGUCUAUCAGAGAGGAAUUGGAAUUCCGAUAAUAGCAGUGAAAUGCCAUGGAGUAUGCGGAGGAACACCGAUGGCGAAGGCAGCCUCCUGGGUAACACUGACGGCGCUCUUGCAGCGAUAGAGGGGGCAAACAGGAUUGGGUACCUGGUAGUCCACGCCCUAAACGAUAUCAACUUCAGCUGUUGGGGCCUUCGGGCCUUGGUAGCGCAGCUAACGCGUGAAGUUGACCGCCUGGGGGAGUACGGUCGCAAGAUUAAACUCAAAGGAAUUGACGGGGACCCGCACAAGCGGUGGAUGAUGUGGAUUAAUUCGAUGCAACACUUCGAAAAACCUUACCUACCCUUGACAUGUCUGGAAUCCCGAAGAGAUUUGAGGUGCUCGCAAGAGAACCGGAACACAGGUGCUGCAUGUGUCGUCAGCUCGUGUCGGUGUUGGGUUAAGUCCCGCAACGAAGCGCAACCCUUUGUCAUUAGUUGCUACGAAGGCACUCUAAUGAGUUAACCGGUAGGCAAACCGGAGGAAGGUGGGGAUGACGUCAAGUCCUCAUGGCCCUUAUGCGGGUAGGGCUUCACCACGUCAUGCAAUAAAUUCAUGGGGACAGAGGGUCGCCAACCCGCGAAAGGGGAGCCAAUCCCAGAAACGAUCGUAGUCCGGAUCGCAGUCUGCAACUCGACUGCGUGAAGUCGAAUCGCUGUGUCGCGGAUCCAGCAUGUCGCGGUGAAUACGUUCCCGGGUCUUGUACACACACCGCCCGUCACACCAUGGGAGUGGGUUUUACCAGAAGUAGUUAGCCUAACCGUAAGGAGGGCGAUUACCACGAUGAGAUUCAUGACUGGGGUGAAGUCGUAACAAGGUAG